GACGGGGGGUGCAAGCGUUAUCCGGAAUCACUGGGCGUAAAGCGUCUGUAGGUGGUGAUGCAAGUCACUGGUGCAAAACUCUGGCUCAACCGGAGGAAAGCCAGUGAAACUGCAUGACUAGAGUGUGGGAGAGGUAGAAGGAAUUCCCUGAGUAGCGGUGAAAUGCGUAGAUACAGGGAAGAACACAGGAGGCGAAAGCGUUCUACUGGAACACAACUGACACUGAGAGACAAAAGCUAGGGGAGCGAAUGGG
RNAcentral lists this ribosomal RNA (253 nucleotides) under uncultured bacterium. Its description in RNAcentral is "partial 16S ribosomal RNA". It matches the Rfam family "Bacterial small subunit ribosomal RNA", at positions 524 to 776 of the family's 1533-position model. The record is from RNAcentral.